AAAUUGAAGAGUUUGAUCAUGGCUCAGAUUGAACGCUGGCGGCAGGCCUAACACAUGCAAGUCGAGCGGUAGCACAGAGAGCUUGCUCUCGGGUGACGAGCGGCGGACGGGUGAGUAAUGUCUGGGAAACUGCCUGAUGGAGGGGGAUAACUACUGGAAACGGUAGCUAAUACCGCAUAAUGUCGCAAGACCAAAGUGGGGGACCUUCGGGCCUCAUGCCAUCAGAUGUGCCCAGAUGGGAUUAGCUAGUAGGUGGGGUAAUGGCUCACCUAGGCGACGAUCCCUAGCUGGUCUGAGAGGAUGACCAGCCACACUGGAACUGAGACACGGUCCAGACUCCUACGGGAGGCAGCAGUGGGGAAUAUUGCACAAUGGGCGCAAGCCUGAUGCAGCCAUGCCGCGUGUGUGAAGAAGGCCUUCGGGUUGUAAAGCACUUUCAGCGGGGAGGAAGGCGGUGAGGUUAAUAACCUCAUCGAUUGACGUUACCCGCAGAAGAAGCACCGGCUAACUCCGUGCCAGCAGCCGCGGUAAUACGGAGGGUGCAAGCGUUAAUCGGAAUUACUGGGCGUAAAGCGCACGCAGGCGGUCUGUCAAGUCGGAUGUGAAAUCCCCGGGCUCAACCUGGGAACUGCAUUCGAAACUGGCAGGCUAGAGUCUUGUAGAGGGGGGUAGAAUUCCAGGUGUAGCGGUGAAAUGCGUAGAGAUCUGGAGGAAUACCGGUGGCGAAGGCGGCCCCCUGGACAAAGACUGACGCUCAGGUGCGAAAGCGUGGGGAGCAAACAGGAUUAGAUACCCUGGUAGUCCACGCCGUAAACGAUGUCGAUUUGGAGGUUGUGCCCUUGAGGCGUGGCUUCCGGAGCUAACGCGUUAAAUCGACCGCCUGGGGAGUACGGCCGCAAGGUUAAAACUCAAAUGAAUUGACGGGGGCCCGCACAAGCGGUGGAGCAUGUGGUUUAAUUCGAUGCAACGCGAAGAACCUUACCUGGUCUUGACAUCCACAGAACUUUCCAGAGAUGGAUUGGUGCCUUCGGGAACUGUGAGACAGGUGCUGCAUGGCUGUCGUCAGCUCGUGUUGUGAAAUGUUGGGUUAAGUCCCGCAACGAGCGCAACCCUUAUCCUUUGUUGCCAGCGGUUAGGCCGGGAACUCAAAGGAGACUGCCAGUGAUAAACUGGAGGAAGGUGGGGAUGACGUCAAGUCAUCAUGGCCCUUACGACCAGGGCUACACACGUGCUACAAUGGCAUAUACAAAGAGAAGCGACCUCGCGAGAGCAAGCGGACCUCAUAAAGUAUGUCGUAGUCCGGAUUGGAGUCUGCAACUCGACUCCAUGAAGUCGGAAUCGCUAGUAAUCGUAGAUCAGAAUGCUACGGUGAAUACGUUCCCGGGCCUUGUACACACCGCCCGUCACACCAUGGGAGUGGGUUGCAAAAGAAGUAGGUAGCUUAACCUUCGGGAGGGCGCUUACCACUUUGUGAUUCAUGACUGGGGUGAAGUCGUAACAAGGUAACCGUAGGGGAACCUGCGGUUGGAUCACCUCCUUACCUUAAAGAA
RNAcentral lists this ribosomal RNA (1550 nucleotides) under Klebsiella pneumoniae. RNAcentral describes it as "bacterial SSU rRNA". It matches the Rfam family "Bacterial small subunit ribosomal RNA". RNAcentral also lists the same sequence under 1 other name. Lineage: Bacteria; Pseudomonadati; Pseudomonadota; Gammaproteobacteria; Enterobacterales; Enterobacteriaceae. The record is from RNAcentral.